UACGUAGGGCGCAAGCGUUAUCCGGAAUUAUUGGGCGUAAAGAGCUCGUAGGCGGUUUGUCGCGUCUGCCGUGAAAGUCCGGGGCUCAACUCCGGAUCUGCGGUGGGUACGGGCAGACUAGAGUGAUGUAGGGGAGACUGGAAUUCCUGGUGUAGCGGUGAAAUGCGCAGAUAUCAGGAGGAACACCGAUGGCGAAGGCAGGUCUCUGGGCCAUAACUGACGCUGAGAAGCGAAAGCCAGGGGAGCAAACGGG
RNAcentral lists this ribosomal RNA (253 nucleotides) under uncultured bacterium. Its description in RNAcentral is "partial 16S ribosomal RNA". It matches the Rfam family "Bacterial small subunit ribosomal RNA", at positions 524 to 776 of the family's 1533-position model. The record is from RNAcentral.